Molecule: ribosomal RNA, 499 nt
Filed under: uncultured bacterium
Lineage: Bacteria
Description: bacterial SSU rRNA
Rfam family: Bacterial small subunit ribosomal RNA
Source: RNAcentral
UCGAACGCGACUGAGGCUUCGGCCUCAGUUGAGUGGCGAACGGGUGAGUAACACGUGGGUGACCUACCUUCGAGUGGGGGAUAACGUCCCGAAAGGGACGCUAAUACCGCAUAACAUCCUUCCUUUGAACAGGAGGAGAUCAAAGCCGGGGAUCGCAAGACCUGGCGCUUGAUGAGGGGCCCGCGCCUGAUUAGCUAGUUGGUGGGGUAACGGCUCACCAAGGCGACGAUCAGUAUCCGGCCUGAGAGGGCGGACGGACACACUGGGACUGAGACACGGCCCAGACUCCUACGGGAGGCAGCAGUGGGGAAUUGUUCGCAAUGGGCGCAAGCCUGACGACGCAACGCCGCGUGGAGGAUGAAGGUCUUCGGAUUGUAAACUCCUGUUGCUCGGGACGAAUAGCUCCAACCUAAUACGUUGGAGUCUGACGGUACCGAGUGAGGAAGCCCCGGCUAACUCUGUGCCAGCAGCCGCGGUAAUACAGAGGGGGCAAGCGUUG